CAGUGGGGAAUUUUGGACAAUGGGGGCAACCCUGAUCCAGCAAUGCCGCGUGUGUGAAGAAGGCCUUCGGGUUGUAAAGCACUUUUGUCCGGGAAGAAAUCCUUUUCGAUAAUACCGAAGGGGGAUGACGGUACCGGAAGAAUAAGCACCGGCUAACUACGUGCCAGCAGCCGCGGUAAUACGUAGGGUGCGAGCGUUAAUCGGAAUUACUGGGCGUAAAGCGUGCGCAGGCGGUGAUGUAAGACCGAUGUGAAAUCCCCGGGCUUAACCUGGGAACUGCAUUGGUGACUGCAUCGCUGGAGUAUGGCAGAGGGGGGUAGAAUUCCACGUGUAGCAGUGAAAUGCGUAGAGAUGUGGAGGAAUACCGAUGGCGAAGGCAGCCCCCUGGGCCAAUACUGACGCUCAUGCACGAAAGCGUGGGGAGCAAACAGGAUUAGAUACCCUGGUAGUCCACGCCCUAAACGAUGUCAACUGGUUGUCGGGCCUUCAU
Molecule: ribosomal RNA, 490 nt
Filed under: uncultured bacterium
Lineage: Bacteria
Description: bacterial SSU rRNA
Rfam family: Bacterial small subunit ribosomal RNA
Source: RNAcentral